GCUGGGUGUGGUAGUGCACACCUGUAAUCCCAGCUACUCAGGAGGCUGAGGCAGGAGAAUUGCUUGAACCUGGGAGGUGGAGGUUGCAGUGAGCCAACUCCCAUCACUGCACACCCAGCCUGGGUGACAGAGCAAGACUCUGUCUCAA
This 148-nucleotide non-coding RNA is filed under the name Nomascus leucogenys (northern white-cheeked gibbon). The record is from Rfam by way of RNAcentral. Lineage: Eukaryota; Metazoa; Chordata; Mammalia; Primates; Hylobatidae.